UUGAACGCUGGCGGCAGGCCUAACACAUGCAAGUCGAGCGGAUGAAGGGAGCUUGCUCCUGGAUUCAGCGGCGGACGGGUGAGUAAUGCCUAGGAAUCUGCCUGGUAGUGGGGGAUAACGUCCGGAAACGGGCGCUAAUACCGCAUACGUCCUGAGGGAGAAAGUGGGGGAUCUUCGGACCUCACGCUAUCAGAUGAGCCUAGGUCGGAUUAGCUAGUUGGUGGGGUAAAGGCCUACCAAGGCGACGAUCCGUAACUGGUUUGAGAGGAUGAUCAGUCACACUGGAACUGAGACACGGUCCAGACUCCUACGGGAGGCAGCAGUGGGGAAUAUUGGACAAUGGGCGAAAGCCUGAUCCAGCCAUGCCGCGUGUGUGAAGAAGGUCUUCGGAUUGUAAAGCACUUUAAGUUGGGAGGAAGGGCAGUAAGUUAAUACCUUGCUGUCUUGACGUUACCAACAGAAUAAGCACCGGCUAACUUCGUG
RNAcentral lists this ribosomal RNA (483 nucleotides) under uncultured bacterium. RNAcentral's name for it is "partial 16S ribosomal RNA". It matches the Rfam family "Bacterial small subunit ribosomal RNA", at positions 30 to 507 of the family's 1533-position model. The record is from RNAcentral.